This is a non-coding RNA of Sus scrofa (pig), 5615 nucleotides long. The record is from RefSeq and is a predicted model, not a curated record. NCBI's taxonomy places the organism in Eukaryota, Metazoa, Chordata, Mammalia, Artiodactyla, Suidae.
AGCUCAUGGCAACGCUGGAUCCUUAACCCACUGAGUGAGGCCAGGGAUCGAACCCGCAACCUCAUGGUUCCUAGUCAGAUUCAUUAACCACUGAGCCAUGAUGGGAACUCCCCCCAUUAGGAUUCUUGAAAGUGCGAAUAGCCUUGGAGCCCAGCAUCUCUCCCUGCACCCCCACCCCACCCCAGGCCCCCACCCAUGGCUCUGUGGAUGCUUGGGUCCAGAAGGCACUGACAGGCUGGAACCACUAGGUGGGACAGGAGGAAAACCUAAACGAGUCAUCCGCAGAACAGCCCUAGAGGUAGGUGUUCUAAUGAUACACAUUUUACAGAGAAGGAAACUGGGGCAGGUGAGCAUGCGCCCCAAGUCUUUGGCCCUUUGUCUUGGUCCAGCUGCACCCUUCAUGUCUUCUCAUAAUGCUCUUGGGGGCUGUUUGGCCAGGCUGGGUGAGGCUGGCAACACCUUGUUCCCCUGGAGAUGGGCACCUAUCAUCCCCCCAAGGCAUGGGUUAGGUGAACUCCCAGGACAAGUGUGGCACACUCAUUGGGGACCGGCUAGGGAGCUACCUGAGUGGACAGGCAGGGUCAGCGUCCCUAUCCUGCAGUAGCAUUGCCUCAUGCAACAGCUUGUGUCCUUUGGCCACUGCUGGGUUUUCUUUGGGAUCACGACCACAGGUAGGUGGGAGACCAGAGGCCAAGGGGUGAGGUACCAAGGGGAGGCCCCCAGCCCCCACAGUGGCUGACCACCCCUGCCUGCUGUCAUUUCAGAGUUGGGAGCAUUGGGCACCCCAGUGUUCAGUAUGACCAGCCACAACUCAGCCCGUGACGUUGAAAAGAGCCUCACAGUGGACAUCACCUGAAUGAGAUGGGCAAGCCAGUCUCCAUGAAGAGACUCUGGUAGGUCUCUGCCCUUCAGAGUGUAUUCCUUGUGGUUUUGUCUUUUUUUUUUAUUCUUCUUCUUUUUGGGGCCAUACCUGCAGCAUAUGGAGGUUCCCACAUUAGGGGUUGAAUCAGAGCUGCACCUGCAGGCCUACACCAUAGUGAUAGCAACACCAGGUCAGAACUGCGCCUGUGGACUACACCACAGGUCACACCAACACCAGAUUCUUGACUCACUGAGCGAGGCCAGGGGUAGAACCCACAUCCUCACGGAUACUAGUUGGAUUAGUUUCUGCUGUACCACAGCAGGAACUCCUUGUUGUCUUUUUUAAAGUAGGACUUUUAGGUCCGGGGAGAGGCAAGCAGGCCAUGCCGGUAAAAAAGAGUCCUCAUUGAGAUUUUCUUUUUGAUCCCAGGCUAGUGAUCAAACCUGCACUGCAGCAGUGACCUGAGCUCCAUCAGUGACAAUGCUGGAUCCUUAACCCAUUGUGCCACCAGGGAACUCCUCCUCGAGGUUUCUGUGUUAUCUCACCUGCUACGAUGAAAUAGCAGUUCCUCAGUCUGGCCUUCCAGACCCUGCAGAUUCGGCCUCCAGCUCCUUUACCGAUUUGAUCCCCUGGCGGUGCUGCUCUCUCCUCCCUGAAAUGGCUUCCUUGCUGAGGCUUCUACUGUGCUUUCCUGUCUCUGCUUUCUCUUCUGCAGGCUCUACUGUCUAGGUCCCCCCCUCCCCGUUUGUUGUUUAUGUUUCUCUUUGCUGUUGAGUAACAUUCCUCACAGAGAUUUAUAUUCCUUGUUGUACGUGGCCACUGAACGCUCUGCUCGGUGUGCUUAGUGGUCAGCUAAUGAUUGGACAGGAAUUUCCAUAAACGUCUUGGACAAGUAAGGCUCAGCCUUUGCCACCAGGCUCUGUGUAAAGUUGGGGUACACACUCAGCACUCUGGCAGACAGUUUUCUGCCCUGCCUUAGCCUUCCCUUCCAUCUGUGCAGGGCCUCAGGGUCAGUCAGAGGUGAGAGCUUACAGCUUUCUAGGUCUUUCCAGAAAGACAGCGCUACAUAUGCACAUGGCUUUCCAGAUUCCUAGGAAACCCCUAUGGAUAUAAUUCAGCUUCUCCUUUUAAGUUCUUUGGUCAGUAUUGGUACUGUUGUCUCAGGCAACUUCCAUGUUACACAGCUGCUUUUUAUUAUUAUUAUUACUAUUUUUUUUAAACAAAUGCCAUUGGGUAAAGGCUGGUUAUAAGGAGUGAGCUCUGAGUCAGGUUUUAUUUGACCUGAAUAAGCCCCACAGGUGUGGUUUCCAGGGACUGCCAGAAUGACAUUUCUCUGGUGGUGGGUUUUUGAAAAGAUCCAGCCCCAUUCUGCUCCCUUCAGUGGCAGUCAGGCUGCUGGUUUUCAUUGUGAUUGUGGUGCUGGUGGAUUGCUAGGUUGCUGUGGGGCAGGGGAAAAAGGGGUGGGAACUGGCAAGUAAAAAUACCAUUAAACACUCUGUUCUCACAGAGAAUAAUUGCUCCUUGAUAGUUGCAAGCCCUGGGGUAAUUUAAAGUGUCAUGAGAAAGUUGAUUUUGAUCAUUUUUGCCAGUGAUCUCAUGGAUGUUAUGGAGGAGUGAAUUUUCAGUGUUUUUGUUGUUGUUGUUGUUUUGUUUUUUGUCUUUUUAGGGCCACACCCAUGACAUAUGGAGGUUCCUAGGUAAGGGGUCAAAUCACAGCUGUAGCCACCGGCCUACACCUCAGCCACAGCAAUAUCAGAUUUGAGCCGAGUCUGCAACCUACACCACAGUUCAUGGCAAUGCUGGAUCUUUAACCCACUGAGCAAGGCCAGGGAUCAAACCUGUGUCCUCAGGGAUGCUAGUCAGAUUAAUUUCUGUUGAGCCAUGACCAGAACUCCUUCCAGUGGGCUUUAUUCUGCCAUUCCCACUGAUGUCAGAAUGUGUUAUUGUUCAGGAAUGGUGAUUUGAAUACCCCUCUGUGUGAAUUCACAGCCCUUGGGCUCCGGGGAUGUCCCAGGAGUCCUGGAAGUGGGGCAGGCUGUUUCUACCUCUGGGGUGAGUUGGACAUUUGGCCCUUGGGGAGCACUAAGGAACUUGCUUUUUGUGUCGCUAGGCUCCCCUGGGGAGAGGGAGGUCACGAGCCACGGCUUCAUUCUCCUCAGUUAGGAGAGAGGGUACAAACUACCCCGAUGGAGGGCCGCCUUCAGAUGUGGUCCAGGCAAAUCCUGUGCUGCUGGGAAACCCUAUGAAGUUCACCGUCACUCCCCAGGAAAGACACCUGUCCCAGAGACUGUCACAUCUCCGGCUCCACUGAAGUGCAGAUGCAAACAGGCAAAACAAAAACCAACCAACCAACCAAACAAAAACACCAUCAGUUUGGGCGUCCUGCAUAAAGAUCAUGCAGAUGGAAAGUGAAGGUGUGGGCAGUAGGGGUGAGAAGAAGCCUUGGGCCCCAAGGGGGAUCAGAGUCCCCGCUACCUGAGGUGCCCCUCUUCUCUGUGGACUAUUUCCAUAUACCAACAAACCUUUGUGAAUAAACACAAAUAUUUAUUAAAUACCUACCCUUUGGUAGUUAUAAGGAAUCCAGGCACAGAGAAAACAUGGGCCCAAAGAGACUACUGGUCCAGGACCUGAGGUCUACCACAGUCAGAAAUUAGGUGUGCUGGAAGUAUUAUUAGAAGUCUUUUAUGAUGGCAAAGAUUCUCCCUCAAAUGCCCGCUCUAAUCAUUGGGUCAUGGGAACCCAGGCAGUUGAGGAUGGGCAGGAAGGCCUACCAAUAGCUGGUGAUGUCUCCAUGGACUCAGGAGGGAGAACUCAGCCAAUUUAUUAUUCCAUCUUGAGUCCAACUUCUUUGUUUUCUAGACAGAAGAGUCUUGCCCAAAAGUAACCCAGUUCCAUCCACCCAGAUUUAACCUAAUUUUGUGCUUGAUUAAGGCAAUUUGCGUUGGGGGGCUACAUUAAGUGACCACACCCCUUCUCUAGCUCUUUGGCAGCAUCCAAAGAGACCUUGUCUUUGGCCUCCAACACCUCUCAUGGGCACCUGACUAUGUUUGAUAAACCAAUUAGCAAAACUUUCAUAAUUGCAGAAAUUGUCGAGUCAAAGGAAACACCUGCCUCUCAGGAGUUGGUGACUUUUCAGUACCCUGGGCUCGCUGAAGAGGUGAGCUACCUACAGACAGAAAGGCCUCCUGCCUGGAGCUUGGCCUGGGCAGGGGUGGGGAGGGGCCCUAAGACCCCUGGGGGCCCGCGCUGGUUGGCUUAUUCUUCAGGUCAAUUGUAUUCCUAAGAAAAAUGGCACCUUGCUUUCCCAAAUUAGUAUUUCUGGAGAAGUGAUAAAUCGAGCAAUUUUCUUUUUUUUGGUCAACUGAAUUUUUAACAUAGAAAAUUAAAUAAUGGACCUACAUCCUGGCCUCUUUGCAGCCCCACUCAGGAUCCCUCUUCACCAAACCAAGGACCUUCCUGCAGCACCCAGCCCCAGCUGCAGCCUGUGCUUUUGAGAUGCCCACUCUAGCAGCACAGAUGGGCUCCAGGAGGCUUCCCCAGAAAAGCCCUUGAGACAAAGGACUUCGUGAAGGAGGAUUCCCAUAGAUGCUCUUCCCGUGUUCCGGAAUGCAGGUCAGGCUAGAGGCCAGCUGGGGGUGAUGUCUUGAGUUCCUUAGCAAAGAAUCUGACAAAGCUUAGCAUGUCAGGUUAUAUGUAUAUAUGAUUACUGGCAGGACCAGAAACUAAGAGGGAGGCAUGGAACAGAUUCUCCCCUCCAGCUUUCAGAGACACACUCGCGCCGCGCGCACACACACGCACACGCAGAAUUGGCCACUCAUCGGCACUAGCAACUUCAAGAAUGCCCUGCACAUCCCUUUGACGGACACCAACUUCUCUGUGGAAAGCCUGGCCAUCUCCCUGCUGCAGACAGUUGACCAGUGAAGAGACAACUGUUGCUCGGGCCCAUGGAACAAGAACAUCUGUAAACCCAGGCGGAGUUCCCAGGAGGGUUUGUGAAAUGCUAGAGCAGGAAGAGGCCUUGGGACCCAGCGGGUUCGGCCACCUUGCUUUACAUCUGAGAAAAUUGAGGCCCAGAGAGGUCAGAGUCAUCCAAAGCACCAAGGCUGGGGUCCCGGAUUUGCACCCAGCAUGGACACCCACUGUACAGUGCCCAGAAAUGGCCAGGACCCUUCAAAGAAGCUGAGCUAAGGCUGGGCCUCCCCUCUCCUACAGCAACUCGGCUGACUGUGUGUCUGUGUGUCUUUGAAUUUUCCAGGACAGUGAAGCCAGGUGAGACCCUCAGAUUCCACAUAAAAUGCAUCCCAACAAAAGUUGGACCCAAGAAAUUUAUCAAGUUUAGUUCUAAUCAGGUGAACAGGUACUCACUGAGAAGACAGUUCUCAUGGCCAACUAACCCCUGCCUGAUGCUGUGGAAAAGGCAGGAGUUCUGACUGGCACGGAGUCUUGGCUGAGCUCUCCAGCAUUUCCUGCUUUGGGAUUAGCUUUCAGAUAGAUUUUAUUACUCUUUAGAUUUCAGAUGAUUAGAUUUGAUUGUUCAUAGGAGGGGGGAUUCAAGAGCCAGCUGAGUGAUAGAGUUCAAAGGCCAACACUAACCCUAGGCAGCAGGACCCACCAAGUCAGGUGAUGUGCAAUCACAGGAAGGCCUCAUUGACAGCCUGGGCCACAGAACCCCCUGCCCCACCCCCGCCUUGAGUCAUAGCCUUAAAGGGCAGGGCUACCACUAUCUGCAAUCAGAACCAAAGUAGUCCACAGC